UGUCUCCUUUUUCUAAUCAGUGAAACUAAUCUCCCCGUGAAGAAGCGGGGAUACCCCUAUAAGACGAGAAGACCCCAUGGAGCUUUAAACCCAACUACACUCCCGACUCUCAAAACCACUAAACUCCCGGGAUCCUACUACGUUGGUUUUAGGUUGGGGCGACCACGGAGUACAAUAAAACCUCCACAAUGAACAGGACUAUUCCUUUAUCUAAGAGCUACACCUCUAAGAAUUGACACAUCAANAUAAUAUGAUCCAUUUUUUGAUCAAUGAACCAAGUUACCCUGGGGAUAACAGCGCAAUCCAUUUCAAGAGCCCCUAUCGACAAAUGGGUUUACGACCUCGAUGUUGGAUCAGGGUAUCCCAGUGGUGCAGCAGCUACUAACGGUUUGUUUGUUCAACAAUUAAAACCCU
RNAcentral lists this ribosomal RNA (414 nucleotides) under Mantidactylus ulcerosus. RNAcentral describes it as "partial large subunit ribosomal RNA". It matches the Rfam family "Bacterial large subunit ribosomal RNA", at positions 2017 to 2597 of the family's 2925-position model. The record is from RNAcentral. Lineage: Eukaryota; Metazoa; Chordata; Amphibia; Anura; Mantellidae.